CCAACGUGGAUACUCCCGGGAGGUCACUCUCCCCGGGCUCUGUCCAGGUGGUGUAGGGGAGCAUAGGGCUCUGCCCCGUGACGUACAGUCCCUUUCCACGACGUUGGAGAUGAAGCCGGGCCUUGCGUCUGCGCCUGCAUAUUCCUACAGCUUCUCAGAGUCCUGUGGAUGAUGACUGAGGAGACAAACCAUGCAGGAAACAUCU
This is a small nucleolar RNA of Suricata suricatta (meerkat), 205 nucleotides long. Its record names the gene SNORA73. It matches the Rfam family "Small nucleolar RNA SNORA73 family". From Rfam's summary of the family: U17 (SNORA73A and SNORA73B) also known as E1 belongs to the H/ACA class of small nucleolar RNAs (snoRNAs). Vertebrate U17 is intron-encoded and ranges in length from 200-230 nucleotides, longer than most snoRNAs. It is one of the most abundant snoRNAs in human cells and is essential for the cleavage of pre-rRNA within the 5' external transcribed spacer (ETS). The record is from Ensembl. Lineage: Eukaryota; Metazoa; Chordata; Mammalia; Carnivora; Herpestidae.